GUGAGUGAGAGCGAGUUCCAAU
This 22-nucleotide microRNA is filed under the name Drosophila melanogaster (fruit fly). RNAcentral's name for it is "dme-miR-4914-5p". Lineage: Eukaryota; Metazoa; Arthropoda; Insecta; Diptera; Drosophilidae. The record is from miRBase by way of RNAcentral.